Molecule: small RNA, 27 nt
Filed under: Bombyx mori (domestic silkworm)
Lineage: Eukaryota; Metazoa; Arthropoda; Insecta; Lepidoptera; Bombycidae
Description: ovarian small RNA-31412
Source: RNAcentral
UGACAGUACACUUUUUGGGUGUCCAGA